AACUAACAAGGAUUCCCUUAGUAACUGCGAGUGAAGAGGGAAAAGCUCAAAUUUAAAAUCUGGCAGUGUUUCACUGUCCGAGUUGUAACCUAGAGAAGUGUAACCUGCGCUGGACCGUGUACAAGUCUCCUGGAAUGGAGCAUCACAGAGGGUGAGAAUCCCGUCUUUGACAUGGACCACCAGUGCAUUGUGGUUGUGCUCUCAACGAGUCGAGUUGUUUGGGAAUGCAGCUCUAAAUGGGUGGUAAAUUCCAUCUAAAGCUAAAUAUUGGCGAGAGACCGAUAGCGAACAAGUACCGUGAGGGAAAGAUGAAAAGAACUUUGGAAAGAGAGUUAAACAGUAUGUGAAAUUGUUGAAAGGGAAACGUUUGAAGUCAGUCGCGUUGGUUGGGGAUCAGCCUGACAUUGUUGGGUUUACUUCCUGGUCGACGGGCCAACAUCAGUUUUGACUGCCAGAAAAAGGCCAAAGGAAUGUGGCACCUUUGGGUGUGUUAUAGCCCUUGGUCGUAUAUGGUGAUUGGGACUGAGGAAAGCAGCGUGCCGAAAGGCCGGGUUUCGACCACGUUCACGCUGAGGAUGUUGGCAUAAUGGCUUUAAGCGACCCGUCUUGAAACACGGACCAAGGAGUCUAACAUGCAUGCGAGUGUUUGGGUGGAAAACCCUUACGCGUAAUGAAAGUGAAAGUUGAGAUCCCUGUCGUGGGGAGCAUCGACGCCCGGACCAGAACUUUUGGGACGGAUCUGCGGUAGAGCACGUAUGUUGGGACCCGAAAGAUGGUGAACUAUGCCUGAAUAGGGUGAAGCCAGAGGAAACUCUGGUGGAGGCUCGUAGCGAUUCUGACGUGCAAAUC
Molecule: ribosomal RNA, 849 nt
Filed under: Amanita sp. 'amerirubescens-05'
Lineage: Eukaryota; Fungi; Basidiomycota; Agaricomycetes; Agaricales; Amanitaceae
Description: partial 28S ribosomal RNA
Rfam family: Eukaryotic large subunit ribosomal RNA
Source: RNAcentral